UACGGGGGGGGCAAGCGUUGUUCGGAAUUACUGGGCGUAAAGGGCUCGUAGGCGGCCAACUAAGUCGGACGUGAAAUCCCCAGGCUCAACCUGGGAACUGCGUCCGAUACUGGAUGGCUUGAAUUCGGGAGAGGGAUGCAGAAUUCCAGGUGUAGCGGUGAAAUGCGUAGAUAUCUGGAGGAAUACCGGUGGCGAAGGCGGCAUCCUGGCCCGACAUUGACGCUGAGGAGCGAAAGCUAGGGGAGCAAACGGG
This 253-nucleotide ribosomal RNA is filed under the name uncultured bacterium. RNAcentral describes it as "partial 16S ribosomal RNA". It matches the Rfam family "Bacterial small subunit ribosomal RNA", at positions 524 to 776 of the family's 1533-position model. The record is from RNAcentral.